GAUGAACGCUGGCGGCGUGCUUAACACAUGCAAGUCGAACGGAAAGGCCCAAGCUUGCUUGGGUACUCGAGUGGCGAACGGGUGAGUAACACGUGGGUGAUCUGCCCUGCACUUCGGGAUAAGCCUGGGAAACUGGGUCUAAUACCGGAUAGGACCACAUUUUGGAUGGUGUGGUAGAAAGUUUUUCGGUGUGGGAUGAGCUCGCGGCCUAUCAGCUUGUUGGUGGGGUAAUGGCCUACCAAGGCGUCGACGGGUAGCCGGCCUGAGAGGGUGUACGGCCACAUUGGGACUGAGAUACGGCCCAGACUCCUACGGGAGGCAGCAGUGGGGAAUAUUGCACAAUGGGCGCAAGCCUGAUGCAGCGACGCCGCGUGGGGGAUGACGGCCUUCGGGUUGUAAACUCCUUUCGCUAGGGACGAAGCGUUAUGUGACGGUACCUGGAGAAGAAGCACCGGCUAACUACGUG
Molecule: ribosomal RNA, 466 nt
Filed under: uncultured bacterium
Lineage: Bacteria
Description: partial 16S ribosomal RNA
Rfam family: Bacterial small subunit ribosomal RNA
Source: RNAcentral